AGUGAACGCUGGCGGUAGGCCUAACACAUGCAAGUCGAACGGCAGCACAGUAAGAGCUUGCUCUUACGGGUGGCGAGUGGCGGACGGGUGAGGAAUACAUCGGAAUCUACUUUUUCGUGGGGGAUAACGUAGGGAAACGUACGCGAAUACCGCAUACGACCUCCGGGUGAAAGCAGGGGAUCUUCGGACCUUGCGCGAGUGAAUGAGCCGAUGUCGGAUGAGCUAGUUUGCGGGGUAAAGGGCCACCAAGGCGACGAUGCGUAGCUGGUAUGAGAGGAAGAUCCGCCACCUUGGCACUGAGACACGGUCCACACUCCUGCGGGGGGCCGCAGUGGGGACUCUUGGACGAUGGGGCCGAGCCUGAUACUGCCAUACCGCGUGGGUGCAGAAGCACUUCGGGUUGUAAAGUCCUUUUGUUGGGAAAGAAAAGCAGCAGGUUAAUCCCCCGCUGUUCUGACGGUACCCAAAGAAUAAGCACCGGCUAACUUCGUG
RNAcentral lists this ribosomal RNA (492 nucleotides) under uncultured bacterium. RNAcentral describes it as "partial 16S ribosomal RNA". It matches the Rfam family "Bacterial small subunit ribosomal RNA", at positions 29 to 507 of the family's 1533-position model. The record is from RNAcentral.